Molecule: unclassified non-coding RNA, 763 nt
Filed under: Hevea brasiliensis (rubber tree)
Lineage: Eukaryota; Viridiplantae; Streptophyta; Magnoliopsida; Malpighiales; Euphorbiaceae
Source: RNAcentral
CUCCGAUAUUCUCUCUCUAAGUGAACGAAGUUCAGCUUCUAAUGAAUCCUUCAACUUUUCUGACUCAUGCUUAAAGUUUUCAUGAGCACCUUCCAUCUGUUUUAGUGCAGCUUCAUUUACCUGUGCUAUACUCUUAUACUGUAGCAUGUGCUCCUUAUUGGCCUGUGCUUCCUCUUUCAACUUUUCAAUCUCCUCCUUAGCCAUUAACAAAUCCGUAACAACCUCAGUAGUUGAAAUAGAAGAAGGUAUGCUGCCAUCAUCCACGUUAGCAACCUUAACAUUUGAAGUUUUGAUCUUUUUCUCCACUUCAGAAAGUUUGGCCUCAGCAACAGCAGCCCUAGUCUCAGCAGCCGAAACAGCAUGCAAGGCAUUUGCCAAUUCCUUUCCCAUUUCCUCAACUUGCCUCAUAGCAUUUUUCAAAGUUUCCUCACGAUCAGAUGUGAGAGCUCUGACAUGGUUCCGCUCUAGUUCCAACUCUUUCUUGGCCUCAGCCCAUUCCCUCUCAACUUGUUUAAUAUACUCCUCUUGUUUUCUCCUCUCGGCAGCUCUUGCCUCCUCGCGAACCUCCUGUGCGCUAUGAAUAGUAUCCAAACUAGCCUGUAGGCGAUAGACUCUCUGUGACAAACUCCCAACUUCAUCACAAGCCCUUUUCUCAGCAUUUGACAACAUCUCUUUUUCAUGCUUAAGAACUGAUACCUCCAUAUUUAACUUCCGAGAAAGCUCCUCAGAGGCUUGCAAUGCUUCUGAACGUUCAAAUAAUUUU